Molecule: ribosomal RNA, 253 nt
Filed under: uncultured bacterium
Lineage: Bacteria
Description: partial 16S ribosomal RNA
Rfam family: Bacterial small subunit ribosomal RNA
Source: RNAcentral
UACGUACUGUGCGAACGUUAUUCGGAAUCACUGGGCUUAAAGGGUGCGUAGGCGGCCUGUUAAGUAGGGUGUGAAAUGCCAGAGCUCAACUUUGGCAUUGCGCUCUAGACUGGCUGGCUUGAGUGAGAUAGGGGUGUGCGGAACUUCCAGUGGAGCGGUGAAAUGUGUUGAUAUUGGAAGGAACGCCGGUGGCGAAAGCGGCACACUGGGUCUUAACUGACGCUGAGACGCGAAAGCGUGGGGAGCGAACAGG